UGAAAUGCAGGGAAGAAAGCUUGAAAAACCUUGAUCAAUGUAAGUUGUUUUCUAAAAUAACUUAAUUUUUUAUAUUAUAAAUUUAUAAUUCAAUUAGAAGGGUUUUUUAGUUAGUGACAGGUUGGUAAAAUACUCAAACUAUAUAUGAUAUGAUAAACUCAUCCAAUAGAAGUAUUGGUUUAAUGUAGUAAAAGCUGCAAUAUCAAGGUAAAUCAUUAAAAAUCAACAAAAUAUAAAUCAC
Molecule: long non-coding RNA, 241 nt
Filed under: Lathyrus oleraceus (garden pea)
Lineage: Eukaryota; Viridiplantae; Streptophyta; Magnoliopsida; Fabales; Fabaceae
Description: Pisum sativum (pea) long non-coding RNA (PSAT_LNC008632)
Source: RNAcentral